UACGUAGGGUGCAAGCGUUAAUCGGAAUUACUGGGCGUAAAGCGUGCGCAGGCGGUUAUGUAAGUCAGGUGUGAAAGCCCCGGGCUCAACCUGGGAAUUGCAUUUGAGACUGCAUAGCUAGGGUGCGGAAGAGGGAAGCGGAAUUUCCGGUGUAGCGGUGAAAUGCGUAGAUAUCGGAAGGAACAUCAGUGGCGAAAGCGGCUUCCUGGUCCAGCACCGACGUUCAGGCACGAAAGCGUGGGGAGCAAACAGG
This 253-nucleotide ribosomal RNA is filed under the name uncultured bacterium. RNAcentral's name for it is "partial 16S ribosomal RNA". It matches the Rfam family "Bacterial small subunit ribosomal RNA", at positions 524 to 776 of the family's 1533-position model. The record is from RNAcentral.